AUAAAGCUGCCAGUGCCAAAAAUACCGUAGCUUCAAAGCUUGGAUAUGGUGCUGAAACAACUCAUCAAGAAGAAAAACCAUCAACAAUCUCUUCAGCAACCUCUGCAAUAGCUGAUAAAGCUGCCAGUGCCAAAAAUACCGUAGCUUCAAAGCUCGGAUAUGGUCCUGAAACAACUCAUCGGGAAGAAGAAAAACCUUCCGUAAUCUCUUCGGCAACCUCUGCAAUAGCUGAUACAGCUGUCUCAGCCAAAAAUACCGUAGCUUCCAAGCUCGGUUAUGACACUGAAACAACUCAAGCAAAGCAUCACGAAGAAAAACCAUCAACAAUCUCUGCAGCAACCUCUGCAAUAUCUGAUAAAGCUGCCUCAGCCAAAAAUGCAGUAGCUUCAAAGCUUGGAUACGGUGCCAACACAGAAACAACACAAACAAAGAAUUACCAAGAAAAUCCAAGCAAUCAACAGCAAUCAACAAUCUCUUCAGCAACCUCUGCAGUAGCUGAUAAAGCUAUCUCGGCCAAAAACACCGUAGCUUCCAAGCUCGGGUUCGGUGACACAACAACAGCACAUGAAGAGAGGAGAAGAGAGCAUGCUGCUGCACCAACUGAAUAUGGAAAGAGUGUUGCUCAGUCUC
Molecule: long non-coding RNA, 630 nt
Filed under: Phaseolus vulgaris (common bean)
Lineage: Eukaryota; Viridiplantae; Streptophyta; Magnoliopsida; Fabales; Fabaceae
Description: long non-coding RNA (PVUL_LNC003639)
Source: RNAcentral